CCUACGGGAGGCAGCAGUGAGGAAUAUUGGUCAAUGGGCGAGAGCCUGAACCAGCCAAGUCGCGUGAGGGAGUACUGCCCUAUGGGUUGUAAACCUCUUUUGUCGGGGAGCAAAAGCCGGACGUGUCCGGCUGUGAGAGUACCCGAAGAAAAAGCAUCGGCUAACCCCGUGCCAGCAGCCGCGGUAAUACGGGGGAUGCGAGCGUUAUCCGGAUUUAUUGGGUUUAAAGGGUGCGCAGGCGGAUUUUUAAGUCAGGGGUAAAAUCGUGGGGCUCAACCCCAUCCAGCCGUUGAAACUGGGGAUCUAGAGUGGGCGAGAGGUAUGCGGAAUGCGUGGUGUAGCGGUGAAAUGCAUAGAUAUCACGCAGAACCCCGAUUGCGAAGGCAGCAUACCGGUGGACAACUGACGCUCAGGCACGAAAGCGUGGGUAUCGAACAGGAUUAGAUACCCGGGUAGUC
This 458-nucleotide ribosomal RNA is filed under the name uncultured bacterium. RNAcentral's name for it is "partial 16S ribosomal RNA". It matches the Rfam family "Bacterial small subunit ribosomal RNA", at positions 338 to 795 of the family's 1533-position model. The record is from RNAcentral.